Molecule: long non-coding RNA, 6858 nt
Filed under: Ananas comosus (pineapple)
Lineage: Eukaryota; Viridiplantae; Streptophyta; Magnoliopsida; Poales; Bromeliaceae
Description: long non-coding RNA (ACOM_LNC038969)
Source: RNAcentral
CCGCUAACAGACCGCCGGACGGGCCGGGGUUUCCCCUGUACGCGGACAUAGUCUCCCCAGUACGUUCUAGGCGUCGCAAUCCAAACAAUACAGAGAUGUUCCAACCAGGAACGGAUAUCAAUCAAGAUUGCAUAAGGAAGUAUCAAAUACAUAAACUACUAGCUAUUACAAGCAUUCAUUCACUUUUACAUCACAGUUUCUAUUUACAUUUUUACUUCCAGAUUACAAUCUCAUCACAUUAGGGUUUACAAGUUUAAUACAUUUUAUUUUUCCUUGUCUUCUAGUCCCCUAAGCUAGACUGCCUCAGGGUACUUCUACCUCGGUCUCUGUGGCAGGGCGCUAUCUACUGAGCUACGCCGCGCUGCCGCGCUCCGCUCCCGCANGGUCUCUGUGGCAGGGCGCUAUCUACUGAGCUACGCCCUCGCCUCGCGCCGUCGCGCCGCACAUGUACAACCUGAAAACACCCGAAACAACGUGGGGUGAGAACCAACUCCAUGGUUCCCAGUGGGUACGGCCACCCAAGGGAAAAGCUCGACCGAUAGGUCUGAGGAGGCACUGCAACAUGUUAGUUCAACAAUAUACAACAGAUAUAUAUUCAAUUGAAAUACAUGCCAUGCCUCACAAUAUGCGAUAUGCAAAUCAUGCAACUCUACGCAACAUCUAGUAGAUCCACAGAUUCUACAUUUACUUGGCUACUCUUAGCUCGCAUCUUUACUCUAAGGCUUCUAUUACCUUAGGAUCUCAAGCCUCUAUCUCUAGCUCAUAGGGGUUCCUCUACCCUAUCAAAGCUAACCACCCGACUCGGCUUCGAGUCGAUCAUCCGCGGGCCCUCUCUGUCUCAGCCCCCUAGCGGCGAAGUCGUCCAACACGCUAAGCCUGGCUCAAGUCGCACGACUUGACCAUCUGGCGGCGAUCACGUUGCUCUUACCCAGCGUGAGCUCGAGACCUGACACGCCGUCUGGCGGCGAACGGGUCGCACCACACCCAACAACAGCACAUGUCAGACUCAGCCACCUGGAGGCACCCGCAUCGUACUCACCCAGUAUGGAUUCAGUCUGCUCUGGCGGUCUGAUCCUCAGUCGGCUUAACCAUCCGGCGGCGAAAUCGUCGCACAAAUGCCACGUCAAUGGUUCAAGCCUCGGGCGGUGAUCUCCAUGUGAUCGCCCCCAAUCCUCCCUCGGUACCAAGCUCGGCGGCGAAGUCGUCGCACAAACGCCCUAGCUUUUACCAAGGUCAUAACAAAUCAUGGGAUUCCGGAAUCCACUUUCCACAGGUCGAGGGUCCAUAACCAACCCUAUGCUGUCGACCUAUCUCAUCCUAGUGGCUAGUACCACUAUACUCAUCAACCUAGGUUCCAACACUCUAGGUUCUAUGUCCAUGUCACUUAACCUAGUUACAUUUGCUAGGUUCUUGUCCUCUUUGCCUAGAUGUCCAUGUCUAGGUUUACUAGUUCGACCUAGGUUUACUAACACUAGGUUCAAUGUUACACACCUAGAUUACUCGACUCUAGGUUCACUAACACUAUGUUCUUUACCACUAGGUUGGAUGCCACUCGAUCUACCUGACAACCUAGUUGUCCAGUCAACUCUGCUCAUACUAGAGUUAUCAUCUUUAUUCCUCAUGCAUACUAUUUAGCAUUUCUAUCUAUGCAUUAUUAUUAAUAUGCACUCUUUACAUUAGCUAGCAUUAUUUACAUGUCAUGCUAUCAUGCUUGCUACUUAGCAUUUUAGUCUAUGCAUCGUUGUACCAUGCGUUCUUUUCUUAGCCUUUACUUUAUGCAUAUCUAUUAAUGCACCAUUUAGUCUUGUCUACAUGCACAUGCAUCAACAUGAGAUUACAUUGCUAAGACAUAAAGGGCGACCUAGUCGCUUCGGUAAGCACAACCCACCUUAAUUCGCGUUCCGAUUGCUUGUCGACACUUGCAAUCGGCCUCCCGCGGCACCCGUAUCCGGCACGGCCCGAUACUGCAACUGCGCCUCAACCAUGUUCCGCUUCGCAGCCCCGAAAAUUACAGGUCUUCGGUUAUGUGCCACGAUGCCUUAAAUCCAUUUCCAUGAUUUUACGACGUCGCCUCGGACCUCCCGGCGGACCCGAAGCCUAAACGUCUAUUUCUUUAAUAACUUUGUAACGGCUCGUCGGAUUAUCGAACCGACUUCGCCAGCGCAUUUCAUUACCUAGCAAUUAGGUUUACGGAGGGUCAAAUUAGAUCAAACCCUUAUAUUUUACAAAACCCCAUUCGGAGCCCUAAUGUACAAUUAACCUCCAAAUAAUCCAAAUUAAAUGGAUCAACAUGCCAACAAAGCUCAUUAGAUGCUACUAGAACACUUAAAGCUAAGGAUUAAGCCAAAUCCCAAAAGCUUACCCCAAUGUGAACGCCGCAACGAAAACACGCCGCUCCAACGGGCGCACGAAAGCUCAAUCCGUCGCCUCCAACGCGUUCGCAAGCUCGAUCUCCACCAACGCCGCGAAUUUGGGCGAGAAAUAUAGAGAGAUGAGAGAGAUAUUUAGAGAGAGAAAAGGGAGGGUUUCUCUCACUACACCAUGAACGUGUGCUUGUGUGGGGUGGUGGUCGGCUGUGAAGAGGAAGAAGCCUAGUAGCUUCUACUUAUAGUCAACACCUCAAUAGUAGCAUACACUAUUCACAUCAGGCAGCUCCAAAUCUGAUAUCUUUCGCCGGAGCUCCCUGAAUAUCCGUUUGAGCUCAAACUUGACAGUCAUGUUCGGUUUUACUUAACGAGUCCAAAGAAAUUUUAAUAUUUCAGUUUCGACCCCGUUUGGUCACCGAAAACUGUGCCGAACUGCAAUCUUUAUCAGAUAGCUUUCGGAUUUUAUUUCUCACUCUACAGGUGUCUGAAAAAUAUGAAACUUUAAAUCUAGCCUCAUAAAAAUAUUUCUGACAUCCCCGCCAAUUUUCAUAAUUUUCUGAGACUGUGCAUUUUCUGCUAAUUUAUCAGUCCCGUUUCCAACAGAAAAUUCUAAAUCUUCUGUUUUCACUCCGAUUUCAGCACAGGUCGUUCCCAACUGAUAUUUCACUUCUCUAAAUCUAAUAAAAUAGUAUCUCAUACUAUUUUUAUUUAUUUUUCUCUUUUAUAUUUAAAAUCCAGUAUGUUACAUUCCAUCGCAACCUCACCGGAACCAUUUAAAUGUACACCGUAACUUCAUAAUUUUAGAAGUCCGGUACCUUACAUCCUCCCCUCCUUAAAAGAGUUUCGUCCCCGAAACUAACUCACUUCAAGUCCAAUUCACUCCUCAACUCAACUUAUUGAGCGACAUAGGGUUCUAAUGCACUUUUAUACUCCGGGGUGGCCUUUUACUCAUUGGAAUCAUCCAAAGGCGCACCACGGAGGGUGUGAGACCAGGUUCACUCACAUUUGCUAAGCGUAACUCCAAAAGUGCAUUACGGGUCUCCGUCAUUCCUUGUGGUAGCACAAGUCGAAACUCAACGACUCUACGCACUCCAACACCAACCCUCACGCAGCUAUUUCUUAUUCAAGUGUCUCCUAGAGAACACUUUACUUUUCUCUUUAUUCUUUACUACCACAAGCCACGUUCAACAUCACACGAACCCUCCGUUCGUGAAUCCAAGCCCAACUCACUAACAGAGUUGCUGGUCGCACCGAUUAUCGGUUUUCACAGGCGGACAAACGGUUGUAAUCAUUACGUAGGCCUACCACCUAUACCUGCCAUAACUACGCAUAGCGUCUCUCGCCCGUAUCGUAGAUCCAAUCAUCAUUAGGCGAAAUUCUCAUUGGAGAAUUCGCACAAACUCCAACCAGGAGCAACCAAGAUCCUAGACCACGUCAAGUCCUCGGGUUGGGUCACUAUGCACUUGGUGUGCCAUCAAUCUCACGAUCUAUCGCGUCGCAUUCCACGUACUCGGGUCCAAGCUCGGACUACCGUCCUGACCAACACUCUGCCCUACCAGUAGGUAUCGGGCCGCUGUCUCUCACAGCUGAUUGCGCCUGCCUAAUGGGCCCAGGCUCCACAAUCCACAAAUGGUCCAGGCACGGGUCAUCCUCAAGCACCACCCGUCGUCGUCGUCGUACACGACAUGUUCUACAGAGCUACACACUCUAUCGGCCCCUAGGCACCUAGUGCGAGCCACCAGCCCUACGAGUGAUCCAUGGCCCGCUUCACACUUAGCCCUGCUAAAGUGCUACUGCCAAUUCACUCAACCGGCUGAAUCGGAACCGCACUUCAGGAGUAACUACACUCGAGUGCUCUACGCCUCUAAAGCGUUCCACGAAAUCUAGCAUCAGGCAACCUUGCCUAUGCACACCGACUACACGAGCAGGACUCGCCGACCUCAACUUGAGGUACUACUAGGCCUACGUGCCCGUAUUCGGCAACUAUACGGUUACUCUCUCAACAGUGAUUCUACCUUCACUGUUCGAUCUACCGGAACACAUUCUCAACUCCCGUGUCUUUCGAGUAUCCUCAACAUCAAGGCUCAACUCUCACAAUUUCCAACCCAUUAUUUCGAGAGUCACUUACUAGACCAUGUUCUCCACGAGCCUCAUUCCGUACCGGAGAAUCAUCACUAGCCAUUAGCUAGCACCACUUGGCUUUCUACUUGCACCAGCAGGUGCCACUUCUCACAAUGCAAGCAUGUACGGGCGUCUACUUACCCGACUAUUCGGUCCCUACUAUGCAAUAUAUAAUUAGUAGCAACCGACCAACAACAAAUGCAUGCUAUGCACCAACUUGAGAUUAGUAAAAGCACAUGCUUGCUCAAUUAACUCAUACCUGCCACGAUGACGUCAGCAACGGCAGGCUCUGCAACUCGGGUCGCUUACCCAUGCCCACCUGGCGCUCGUCGCGAACCCUCUGGUUGCAUCGUCCUCAACGGCCGCUCUCCCGACCAUGCCGCAGGUGGCACACCUGCAGGUUGUCCCAGAGAGGGAUGGGCCGUCGCCAGUGUCAAGGCCCGGCCGUCACCACGCGGACACUCGUCCCGCAUAUGACCCGGCAGCCCACACUUGAAGCACUUGCCUUCACGCUGCUCACACUGUUGUGGGAAAUGAGGGCCUCCACAAAUAGCACAUUUCGCCGAGGACUGAAUGCGGUAUGUCCCCGGAGCUCGGGAUCGCGAGUGCGAACUCGUCGAAGUCCGUUGGGAACUUGACUGACCACUGGAUCCACCUGUCGGUCGUCCUUUCCUCUUUUCCUUGUAAUAUGCCUCUCGCUCUUCCCGCAUAAAGGCGUUGCCCUGUUCUAUCCACAAGGCCCGAUCCAGGACUUCAGCAAAAGUCUGCAACUUGAGUACCAGCACCGCCUGGUAAAGAUCUGGCCGAAGUCCACGCACGAAGCAGUCAGCCCUGUCCUUGUCAUCCCGCACCACGUCAUAGGAGGGAGACUAGGCGGUCGAUCACGGAAAAACUCCCGCUCGUAUUGCCUGACCGUGCGACUUCCUUGCCGCAGCUUAAGGAACCCUUCCUUGAGUUUCCGCUUCUCGCUAUCGGGGAAAUAAGCCGAGAACACCAAUCCCCGAAAUUCUUCCCACGUCAUAGGAGGGAGACUAGGCGGUCGAUCACGCUUAAUGCCUUUCCACCACACCUUCGCCGACUGUUUGAGAUAAUGCGCGGCUAAGUUUAUCUUGUCUCGCUCCAACGUGUACAGAUCCUCGAAGAGUGUUUCCAUGGAAUCGAUCCACAUCUCAAUGACCCAGGGAUCUGCAUCCUCUCCAUCAAAGGUAGGCGGAUAAAAUUUCUUGAAAACCAUGAGGAACGCCAAAGCUCGCUCCCUCUCCGCCUCCAACUCGGAACCAACAGGAGUCGGAUCGCCCGACCCCGACGGAACUACCUCCGCCGCGACUCCCAGCUGUCCUCGACGAGCCGUAGCUCGUGCAGCCACCAGCAGAUCCACCGUUUCUUGGAGUCUUUUCAUCUGCUCCUCCUGGCGCACAGCAGCCUCCUGCUGCCGCUGCACCACAUCAGCCUGCUGCCUCAACACUCUUACGAGUGUGGCCAACUGAUCACGAAGCUCUGAGUCUCCGCUCGCAUCGAUUUGCUCGGGAACACCACUUGGCCCCUCCCACGCCGAUCUGGAAGAAGAUCGCCUACGCGGUGCCAUCGUUUCCUAAAACACGACAACUCGAUUAGUUCUCGACCCUCAGGGUCAAACGCGAGACCACUAACAUCGGCUCAAAAGCCAAUCAGGCGAAAGUCACGCAAGGGUGUUUAUUCAUAUCACUCGGUUUCAUGUUGUCGUACGCCCAACAUGAACAAUCUUGGCUGAGAAUAAACCACACCUCGAGUCUACCUCUAAUAUCCGUCUUAGAGGUUUACAACACAACCCAAUCCAUUAACCUUUCGCCACGAAUCAUAAGUCCUCGUCUCUCACGAGCCUUAUUCUCCUAUGGUUUUACUAUCCUAGGGUCUCCUAAGUCAGUCUAAGCCAUUCCCAUUCUCUACUUUAUGCUCUGAUACCACUUUAUCUGUCACGCCCCGCGACCAACCGCCAAUUUGAACUGGAUCGCGGCGCCGCUAACAGACCGCCGGACGGGCCGGGGUUUCCCCUGUACACAGACAGAGUCUCCCCAGUACGUUCUAGGCGUCGCAAUCCAAACAAUACAGAGAUGUUCCAACCAGGAACGGAUAUCAAUCAAGAUUGCAUAAGGAAGUAUCAAAUACAUAAACUACUAGCUAUUACAAGCAUUCAUUCACUUUUACAUCACAGUUUCUAUUUACAUUUUUACUUCCAGAUUACAAUCUCAUCACAUUAGGGUUUACAAGUUUAAUACAUUUUGUUUUUCCUUGUCUUCUAGUCCCCUAAGCUAGACUGCCUCAGGGUACUUCUACCUCGGUCUCUGUGGUGGGGCGCUAUCUACUGAGCUACGCCCUCGCCUCGCGCCGNNNN